RNAcentral lists this ribosomal RNA (467 nucleotides) under uncultured bacterium. Its description in RNAcentral is "partial 16S ribosomal RNA". It matches the Rfam family "Bacterial small subunit ribosomal RNA", at positions 28 to 507 of the family's 1533-position model. The record is from RNAcentral.
GACGAACGCUGGCGGUGUGCUUAACACAUGCAGGUCGAACGGAAAGGCCUCUUUCGGGGGGUACUCGAGUGGCGAACGGGUGAGUAACACGUGAGUAACCUGCCCUUGACUUUGGGAUAACUUCAGGAAACUGGGGCUAAUACCGGAUAGGAGCUCCUGCUGCAUGGUGGGGGUUGGAAAGUUUCGGCGGUUGGGGAUGGACUCGCGGCUUAUCAGCUUGUUGGUGGGGUAGUGGCUUACCAAGGCUUUGACGGGUAGCCGGCCUGAGAGGGUGACCGGCCACAUUGGGACUGAGAUACGGCCCAGACUCCUACGGGAGGCAGCAGUGGGGAAUAUUGCACAAUGGGUGGAAGCCUGAUGCAGCAACGCCGUGUGCGGGAUGACGGCCUUCGGGUUGUAAACCGCUUUCGCUCAUGACGAAGCUUUGUGUGACGGUAGUGGGUAAAGAAGCACCGGCUAACUACGUG